Molecule: non-coding RNA, 94 nt
Filed under: uncultured Eubacterium sp.
Lineage: Bacteria; Bacillati; Bacillota; Clostridia; Eubacteriales; Eubacteriaceae
Description: SAM riboswitch (S box leader)
Rfam family: SAM riboswitch aptamer (S box leader)
About the family: The SAM riboswitch is found upstream of a number of genes which code for proteins involved in methionine or cysteine biosynthesis in Gram-positive bacteria. The SAM riboswitch acts at the level of transcription termination control. The predicted structure consists of a complex stem-loop region followed by a single stem loop terminator region.
Source: RNAcentral
UUUAUCAAGAGCAGCCGAGGGACAGGCCUGAUGACGCUGCAGCAACCUGCCGUAAGGUAAGGUGCUAAUACCUGCGGUAAAUCCGGGUGAUGAG